Molecule: ribosomal RNA, 253 nt
Filed under: uncultured bacterium
Lineage: Bacteria
Description: partial 16S ribosomal RNA
Rfam family: Bacterial small subunit ribosomal RNA
Source: RNAcentral
UACGGGGGGGGCAAGCGUUGUUCGGAAUUACUGGGCGUAAAGGGUUCGUAGGCGGUCAAUUAAGUCAGACGUGAAAUCCCUCAGCUUAACUGGGGAACUGCGUCUGAGACUGGAUGGCUAGAGUGCAGGAGAGGAACGCGGAAUUCCAGGUGUAGCGGUGAAAUGCGUAGAUAUCUGGAGGAACACCGGUGGCGAAGGCGGCGUUCUGGACUGCAACUGACGCUGAGGAACGAAAGCCAGGGGAGCAAACGGG